GGGAAAGUGGCUCAGUGGUAGAGCGCUUGCUUUGCAUGCAUAAGGCUCUGGGUUCGAUUCCUCAGCACCA
This 70-nucleotide transfer RNA is filed under the name Dipodomys ordii (Ord's kangaroo rat). It matches the Rfam family "tRNA". Rfam says of the family: Transfer RNA (tRNA) molecules are approximately 80 nucleotides in length. Their secondary structure includes four short double-helical elements and three loops (D, anti-codon, and T loops). Further hydrogen bonds mediate the characteristic L-shaped molecular structure. tRNAs have two regions of fundamental functional importance: the anti-codon, which is responsible for specific mRNA codon recognition, and the 3' end, to which the tRNAs corresponding amino acid is attached (by aminoacyl-tRNA synthetases). tRNAs cope with the degeneracy of the genetic code in two manners: having more than one tRNA (with a specific anti-codon) for a particular amino acid; and 'wobble' base-pairing, i.e. permitting non-standard base-pairing at the 3rd anti-codon position. Lineage: Eukaryota; Metazoa; Chordata; Mammalia; Rodentia; Heteromyidae. The record is from Rfam by way of RNAcentral.